AACUACUGUAAUCUACCUUAUCUAUUGCAGGAGCAAAUUGCAGCCUUGGGGAAAGAGAACAAAAAAAUAAAGGACUUGUUUUAAAGGUGAUGGAAGAAGAAGCAUUCUCAAAGAAAAAGAAAAAGCAAUGGAGUGAAAUGACGUACACAAUACAAGAUCCUUUAGUGGAG
Long non-coding RNA from Penaeus monodon (black tiger shrimp), 170 nucleotides. RefSeq lists it as uncharacterized. The record is from RefSeq and is a predicted model, not a curated record. Lineage: Eukaryota; Metazoa; Arthropoda; Malacostraca; Decapoda; Penaeidae. The transcript has 2 exons.